Molecule: ribosomal RNA, 254 nt
Filed under: uncultured bacterium
Lineage: Bacteria
Description: partial 16S ribosomal RNA
Rfam family: Bacterial small subunit ribosomal RNA
Source: RNAcentral
UACGGGGGGAGCAAGCGUUGUUCGGAUUUACUGGGCGUAAAGGGCGCGUAGGCGGUCAGCACAAGUCAGUUGUGAAAUCUCCGGGCUUAACUCGGAAAGGUCAACUGAUACUGUGCGACUAGAGUGCAGAAGGGGCAACUGGAAUUCUCGGUGUAGCGGUGAAAUGCUUAGAUAUCGAGAGGAACACCUGCGGCGAAGGCGGGUUGCUGGGCUGACACUGACGCUGAGGCGCGAAAGCUAGGGGAGCGAACGGG